CCUACGGGGGGCUGCAGUGGGGAAUUUUGGACAAUGGGGGCAACCCUGAUCCAGCCAUGCCGCGUGAGUGAAGAAGGCCUUCGGGUUGUAAAGCUCUUUCAGACGGAAAGAAACGGUUACGGCUAAUACCCGUGACUAAUGACGGUACCGUCAGAAGAAGCACCGGCUAACUACGUGCCAGCAGCCGCGGUAAUACGUAGGGUGCGAGCGUUAAUCGGAAUUACUGGGCGUAAAGCGUGCGCAGGCGGUUUUGUAAGACAGACGUGAAAUCCCCGGGCUUAACCUGGGAACUGCGUUUGUGACUGCAAGACUAGAGUACGGCAGAGGGGGGUAGAAUUCCACGUGUAGCAGUGAAAUGCGUAGAUAUGUGGAGGAAUACCGAUGGCGAAGGCAGCCCCCUGGGUCGAUACUGACGCUCAUGCACGAAAGCGUGGGGAGCAAACAGGAUUAGAUACCCUUGUAGUC
This 465-nucleotide ribosomal RNA is filed under the name uncultured bacterium. RNAcentral's name for it is "bacterial SSU rRNA". It matches the Rfam family "Bacterial small subunit ribosomal RNA", at positions 338 to 795 of the family's 1533-position model. The record is from RNAcentral.